UCCCAAAGCUAACGUUCUAACUUUAAACUAC
Molecule: transfer RNA, 31 nt
Filed under: Centropomus viridis
Lineage: Eukaryota; Metazoa; Chordata; Actinopteri; Centropomidae
Description: partial tRNA-Pro
Source: RNAcentral